Molecule: ribosomal RNA, 506 nt
Filed under: uncultured bacterium
Lineage: Bacteria
Description: partial 16S ribosomal RNA
Rfam family: Bacterial small subunit ribosomal RNA
Source: RNAcentral
AGUGAACGCUGGCGGUAGGCCUAACACAUGCAAGUCGAACGGCAGCACAGAGGAGCUUGCUCCUUGGGUGGCGAGUGGCGGACGGGUGAGGAAUACAUCGGAAUCUACCCUGUCGUGGGGGAUAACGUAGGGAAACUUACGCUAAUACCGCAUACGACCUACGGGUGAAAGCAGGGGACCCCCGGGCCUUGCGCGAUUGAAUGAGCCGAUGUCGGAUUAGCUAGUUGGCGGGGUAAAGGCCCACCAAGGCGACGAUCCGUAGCUGGUCUGAGAGGAUGAUCAGCCACACUGGAACUGAGACACGGUCCAGACUCCUACGGGAGGCAGCAGUGGGGAAUAUUGGACAAUGGGCGCAAGCCUGAUCCAGCCAUACCGCGUGGGUGAAGAAGGCCUUCGGGUUGUAAAGCCCUUUUGUUGGGAAAGAAAUCCAGCUGGCUAAUACCCGGUUGGGAUGACGGUACCCAAAGAAUAAGCACCGGCUAACUUCGUGCCAGCCGCCGCAGUAA